This 503-nucleotide ribosomal RNA is filed under the name uncultured bacterium. RNAcentral's name for it is "partial 16S ribosomal RNA". It matches the Rfam family "Bacterial small subunit ribosomal RNA", at positions 899 to 1397 of the family's 1533-position model. The record is from RNAcentral.
ACUCAAAUGAAUAGACGGGGGUCCGCACAAGCGGUGGAACAUGUGGUUUAAUUCGACACUACGCGAGGAACCUUACCUAGGUUUGACAUGUUUAUGACAACUCUAGAGAUAGAGCUUUCCAAGGGAAACCUUGGACAUAUUCACAGGUGCUGCAUGGCUGUCGUCAGCUCGUGUCGUGAGAUGUUGGGUUAAGUCCUAUAACGAGCGCAACCCCUGCUGUCAGUUGCAACCUCGUAAGAGGGCACUCUGAUGGGACUGCCUGGGAAACCAGGAGGAAGGUGGGGAUGAUGUCAAGUCCGCAUGGUCCUUAUGCCUAGGGCUACACACGUGUUACAAUGGCCAAUACAAAGGGCUGCUAAGUCGCAAGAUGGAGCCAAUCCCAGAAAGUUGGUCUAAGUUCAGAUUGAGGUCUGCAACCCGACCUCAUGAAGUUGAAAUCGCUAGUAAUCGCAUAUCAGAACGAUGCGGUGAAUACGUUCUCGGACCUUGUACACACCGCCCGU